GGUCAAGCUACAAAGGGCGCAUGGUGAAUGCCUUGGCAUCAGGAGCCGAUGAAGGACGUGAUAAGCUGCGAUAAGCUUCGGGUAGGCGCACAUAGCCUGAGAUCCGAAGAUCUCCGAAUGAGGAAACUCACAUGGGAAACUCCAUGUAUCAUUAAGUGAAUACAUAGCUUAAUGAAGGUAACCCAGGGAACUGAAACAUCUAAGUACCUGGAGGAAGAGAAAGAAAAAUCGAUUUUCUUAGUAGCGGCGAGCGAAAGGGAAAGAGCCCAAACCGGAAACUUGUUUCCGGGGUUGAGGACAUAACAUAAAGAGAAGUAAUGGCUAAUUGAAGAGAACUGGAAAGUUCUACCGUAGAAGGUAAUAGUCCUGUAAAUGAAAGCUAGUAUAAUCGAGUUAUGAUCCAGAGUACCACGAGACACGUGAAACCUUGUGGGAAGC
RNAcentral lists this ribosomal RNA (438 nucleotides) under Clostridium perfringens. RNAcentral describes it as "partial 23S ribosomal RNA". It matches the Rfam family "Bacterial large subunit ribosomal RNA", at positions 1 to 444 of the family's 2925-position model. The record is from RNAcentral. Lineage: Bacteria; Bacillati; Bacillota; Clostridia; Eubacteriales; Clostridiaceae.